This 8886-nucleotide long non-coding RNA is filed under the name Homo sapiens (human). RNAcentral's name for it is "long intergenic non-protein coding RNA 458". The record is from RNAcentral. Lineage: Eukaryota; Metazoa; Chordata; Mammalia; Primates; Hominidae.
GGCUGACUCUCUUUUCGGACUCAGCCCGCCUGCACCCAGGUGAAAUAAACAGCCUUGUUGCUCACACAAAGCCUGUUUGGUGGUCUCUUCACACAAACGCGCAUGAAAUUUGGUGCCAUGACUCGGAUCGGGGUACCUCCCUUGGGAGAUCAAUCCCCAGUCCUCCUGCUCUUUGCUCCGUGAGAAAGAUCUACCUAGGACCUCAGGUCCUCAGACUGACCAGCCCAAGGAACAUCUCACCAAUUUCAAAUCUGGAACGCGCAUGAAAAAACCAAACAAACAAAAAAAUUUCUUUUGGUAGCAGAAUAAAAAAACAAAAAAAAGGACUUUUUCUUCUGGACUGAACUAUAUUUAAAUCUCAAAGGAUGGACAUCUCACAACCUUCCUACAGCAAGUACUGUGAGAGCUGCAUCUUGUCCCACUGGAUGGUCUUCAGAGACAAUAAUACAUAAUGGAGCUGUCAUCUCCUAUGAUAACAAUGCCUUCUUCUGGAUACCUCCUGAAGGACCUGCCUGAGGCUCUUUCACUCCAUGUAAAGGUGUGCUGCUUUCCCUUUGCCUUCCGCCAUUAUUGAAAGUUUCCUGAGGCCUCCCCAGCCAUGCUACCUGUACGACCUGUGAAACCAUAAGCCAAUUAAGCUUCUUUUCUUUAUAAAUUUCCCAGUCUCAGGUAUGUCUUUACAGCAGUGCAAGAACGAACUAAUACAGGCUUCAAAACCUGUGUGAUUGGAAGAAUGAAAAGGUUGUUAGUAAGAAUAAUAAGAGAAUUAUUAUCUGAGCAUUAGAAAGAUGAUAAUAUGUUCUUGCAAUGUCAUAGGCAAUCCUAUUCUAAAUUCUAAGUGUUAAAAUUUUCAAAGUUUAUGCUGAUUUAUCAAUUAAAUACAAGUCCUGACUUUGGAAAACAUUUAACAUGGUUUGUACAUAUAUAAUGAAUUUUUAAACACACUCCAUUUAAACAUGUGACUAAUCAGAAAACAGAAUUAGAAAAUUUCAUGUAAAUCACAGGUAAAGAAAAUGGCAAUAUUUUUGUUUAUUUUUGUUUUGAUUCUGACCCUCCCUCUUGUCACCCAGGCUGGAGUGCGGCGGCAUCAUCUCGGCUCACAGCAACCUCCGCCUCUGGGUUAAAGCGAUGCUGCUCCUGCCUCAGCCUCCUGAGUAACUGGGAUUACAGGCGCCUGCCACCACGCCUGGCUAAUUUUUUUUUUUUUUUUAAUUUUUCAUAGAGAUGGGCUUUUACCAUGUUGGCUAGGCUGGUCUCAAACUUCUGAUCUCAGGUGAUCUGCCCACCUUGGCCUGCUAAAGUUCUGGGAUUACAGGUGUGAGCCACGGCGCCCAACAAAAAUGGCAACUUUAAUGAAAGAAUGAAAACAUCUUUCAUCACCGUUAUAUAUUCAACAUUUUAAGAAAAUUACAAAUUAGUGAUAAGUUCAUAAAAUAAGCCCACAUUCUACAAAAACAAAAGCUUAUUUAUUUUGAAAACUACUUGUUUUUCCCUAAAAAUGAGGCCUGUCAUGAAAAGUACAAUUUUUAAAAAAUUGUCUCCCUAUGACCUCAAGGGUUUUUUUUUAAAAAAUUUGGGAGUUUUCUGUAUUUUUGUUUGAGUUAAUUUUUUUUGGAGUUCACGCAAUCAGAAGUUUUAUCUUCUAGAAAGCAAAAUGUCAACUUUGUCUUGUUAAUCAGCUUACUGUUCUCAUGAUUGUCACUGACAACUCUUAUGAAGUAUACAGCCAUUUACAAUUUUCACCAGAGCGCAAUCUCUAAUGAAUGUUUCAAAAAUAGAGCACUGGCAUAUUCAUUCUAUUUAAUUUUCCACUAUAACACUUUGAGUGAGGUAUGGAUAUUCUCCUUUUACAGGGUGAUUGUUUGACAUUGUGAUGCUAAGUUAAUUGCCAAUAAUCGGUAAAUUUUUUGUAUGACUCCAGGUGCUGCUCACUUUCUACCACCUGUCAGCUACUUCUUCACUGUCAUUGACACCUAGAGUGCUUCCUCUAAGGUACCCUCUCGGGUGGUACAGCAGCACCAAGUAAUGUCUCCAACAUUACUACACAAACUACAGUUGCUGUGUAAAUAAACUUGUGCUUCGAUAGAGAGGAAAUCUGUCUAUUUCUCUGUAACUGUUAGGGAAGAUAUGGUUCAGUUGGAAUAGCCUCUCACAAAAUACUCUAGACAAUGGCAUUAAUAAUACUGUAAGUCUGGAACAGAAGGGAUUACUGAGUAUCAAUCAGCACUACUUUUCAAAUUAAUUUAAAAUGUGUAUAUUAUGCAUCCGAACAUUAUGCAUCCUAACAUUAGGAACUCUGUCGGGAAAGCUUAUGGAACCUUGGAUGUUACAUAGCGGGCUUUGCUAUUCAGGCCUGAGCAUCUAGGUCUAGCCUAAAAAUCAUAUGUUAACUGAUUGUGUUUUUUUAAAGUGUCACUUGAUCUUUUAGAACCUCACAUUUUUUAAACAGAAAAAUGAAAUAUUGAUGACUGGGGAUCAAUUCUUCAUAGGUCUCUCAUGUUUUUUCACAUCUUGUGAGCUGAUACUGACAGCCUUUGUUCCAGACUAUCUAUUCAAUUAUGUUUGUAUAGUGAACAGCCUUGGAAAAUAGAAAUAGCGUCUCCCUCCAGAGCAACGGUCAGGCAUGCUUCUUGCCCAUUAAUAGCUUUUGGGUUCCCUAAGCUCAGGAUUUCAUUUUGAUAGUGCAACCUACUGUGUGAACAGAUAUCAUCUGGCCCUUUUCAUGUUACUCUGUGGGAACUGGGGCUCAGUGAACUGUCACAAGAUAAUAUUGAUGCUCCAGCUAUUGAUAUUACUGUGAGUAUUGAAAUCCUUUGUCUCUGACCCAGGAGACUUCUUGUCUUUUGCCAGCAUCCAUGAAACUGCAGCAGGCUAACUAGUUAGAUUGCAAGAAUUGUAAAUUCCCAGACCCUUCACAUUUCUUGACAUUGAUAUGUAUAGUCUUCAUAAACUCUUGCAAAGAUUUAUUUGCCCCCAUCAUUCAAAUCCCCAAAACUGUACUGUCUAACUCCAUCUUCAGCUCAAAUAAACACCAGGCUAAAUCCUGACGUUUGCUGGAUAAUUUAAUUAGCUCUUUCCCAGUAACUCUGCAUCAUUGACCUUCCAACUGCCCUGCUCUGAAAACAUGUGCCACAGUUCUAACUAGGAACAGCUUAAGACCUUUAGAAAACUUGAGUAGUGAAAAGAUUAUCGUGCCCUCCACAUGUGUAAUUCAAAACAAAAAUAGUAAUAAACAGCAAAGGAAGUUUAAGGAAGUCCAGUGAAUUCUGAUUAUCUGCAUGAUGACCAUUCAGCCACUGUUGUUCUUAUAGCAGCAAAUAUUAAAAUUUUUGUUUCUCAGUCAUUUUCUACACCCAAACUUGUGAUGAGUCUGUCUAUAGAAUAACCCAGCAGUACUGAUUUGAAAACUAAAUCCCAGAUCUGAGCUCUUAUCUACUCUCUUCUUGCAUAUAUGUAUGUUGUCCCUUCUCCCCAACUCCCUGCCUCUAUUCUUUGUCUCUGCCAAGUCAAGCUGCCUUUCUUCUGCUGAAUUAACCUGAUAUCAAUAGCUUACCUGUCACCACUUGUCAGAAUUUCCUCCCACUGCCCAUCUUGAUUCAUACUGUCCCACUGCCUCAGUGAUUCUGAACUCACUGUCUGACACAACCCACAUUUCUUUGAGAUUCUGCAUGAUUCAAAGUUCAUCUAGGAAAGAGGUUCAUAUCAGAAACCCCAUUUUCAGCAGCAACUCAGGUCAUGCUCACUUCUAAUUAUACUGUUAAAUGAGUGUCCUUUGGUAUUUAAUUUUGUAUUAUCAGAGGUUUAUUGAAAAAUAGAAGGCAUUUAUGCAAAAACAUUUCAGGAGUUUUUAGUAUUUUUUCAUCAGUCAGAAGACAAUCCUAUAAUUAUCGUCAUCAUGAUAUUUAUUUUAAAAAGGGUAAGAAAAUAACAGUAAACUCGAAUGCCUUUAAGGGUUUAAGAUAGAUAUGUAAUUUCUUAAUACAACAGCAUGUGAGAUGGGAAAGAAGGAUGAAGGAUAUCUCUCAUUUGUAAAUGUCUAACAAGCAUUGGAAAGUUGUGAGAAAAAGACAGAUUCAAAUUACAUGAAAUAGUGAAGUUAACUGAUUCAUACAUAUUUUUAGGUGAAUGAGAAUUUGUUGAAAGAAUGAAUUAACACUUCACAUAUAUUAUGGCACACAUUCAGGAAUCGCCCCCCUUUCCCCCAAUUACACCAUUGGUCUUUUUUCUUGUUCUUUCUUUUCUUCUUCCCUCCCCAACCCUCACUGAUUUUUGUUUGUUUGUUUUUGUUUUGUUUUUGUUUUGAGACAGUGUCUCGCUCUGUCACCCAGGAUGGAGUGCAGUGGCACAAUCACAGCUCACUGCAAUCUCCCUCUCUUGGGCUCAAGCGAUCCCCCAACCUUGGCCUCCCAAAUUUGCUGGGAUUACAGGUAUGAGCCACCACAACUGGCCCCUUACCAUCUUCUUAUAAACUGGCAACUUUUCCUUUUGGUAAUCAUCAAAAUGCUUAAAAUAUUUUCCUAAGCCUAGAGGCAUAUCUAACAAAAAAAGCCUUCCCCUACUCCCAUUCCUUCAUCUGAGUGGAGAAAUAGGUUUACAUCAAAAGUACUUACUGGAUAGCAUUAUCAAAAACAGCGGCAGUUUAGCUUUAAUAUGAUUUAUAUAUGUGGCAUGAUUGGGAAAGACAUUUACUGUUUCUCUGCCAUGUUACACUCAGGACUCCAUCAUGCCUUCUGUCCCAAAGUGAUUAGAUCCUCUGUGAUAUCUACUUGGAGUAUAUCCUUUCCCCUUUUCAUGGGUAUUGACUCUAGUAAUCACCUUGAAUUUCAAAUAGCAACCAGGCACUUUUACUUCAGGUUGGUUUUCAGCACACUGCCAAGUCUCCCUAAUGUCAACAAGGCUAGCAGUCAUUCCUGGGCCAAAUUUGUCCCCUUCCUGAAGCAAUGUCUGAAGCUGAACAGGAGUCACUCCCCAGCAUCUCCCCAGUCCUUGUGUGCCACAUGGAUAAAGAAGAUACAGUCCCCAUGACUGGCUAGCUUGAAGAUGCCAACAGGUCUCAAUUGUCUUGACUUGGUUUAUGACAAACCCAGCCUCAGGUUGCCAUCUAAAAAUGGAGACAUGGCCGGACUCAUCUUUCUCAAGCUACCUGGACUUCAAUAUUACUCUUGUGACCCGAAUUAUCUUAUUUAGUUCUUUUCUUGUUUGGUGCAAGUCAGCUCCUGGAAGGUGGAAGUGUUUUGUUCUCCAUUGCAUCUCCUGGGAUUUUUGCCAUAGGCUUUUCUGUACUGUUUGCAUUUCUGGUUGUUUGCUUGAAUUACCUCUUUGGGACGUGAGGAAUUUACACUAAAACACCUGUUUCUUUACAGAAAAGAUACUAGCGCCAGUCUGGCAGGGGCCUUUUCUAGUCUCAAGCACGCUGAGCAGUCCUACACCUUGCCUUCUGAGAGAGAAGAGGACAGUCCUCAGCCUCCUGAAGCCUGGCAAGGGUGCCUUAGUGAGGACAUCACCUGCAACUCCCAGAUGGAUAGACGAGGCCAUGGAGAGAGGAGAACACCAACCCAUGAGUGACAAGUGCCUGUCAUUGUCAAUGAUGCUGCAAGCACCACGAUGCCCCUUCUUAGCAGGGACCCAGUGGGCCUUACCAGCUUCAUUAUUUUCUAGGCAUGAUCGCAUCCUGUCUCCCAUUUUUGCUAAAAUUCUAUCUAGAGAAAGAGCUCAUUUUUAGCUAAAAAAAAAAAAAUCCUGUUUUAUCUGCUAAAAAAUCACAUAAAAUAACUAUUGGACUGUUUGAAAUGGCGUGGCCUCUGCUCUGACUUAUUAACUGUGAUCUUGACUAAGUUAAGCAGUCACUCUGACCUUACGUUACUCCCUCAAAUUUGAAUAAAAAUAGCAACUUCCUCUACUUAUAAAUUACUUCUAAAAAUUAGAUUCUUGAGAUUCAAAGAUAGGUAAUACCUGCCUUCAAGAAACUAACUCUCAAGGCUGCUGUAUGGAAAUCCUGCCUCCUAACUAGAUUGCACUCUUCUAAAUGCUGUACUACUGCUAUACACAUUCUCCAAAUCAAGUUAAUUUCAAAGUCUUGCUGAAUCUACUUUUUAGAAAUAUCUAAGUCAUGUGUACGUCUUUCCAUUCCUGCAUCCCAGGGGAUUGCAGCCAUCAGCUCACCUCCUCUCCUAAUCCAAAAUGUUCCUAACUGGUCUCCUGCCUUGCCUUUCUCCUGAUCACUUCCUACAACAGAGUGAUCGUGACUUGAAAUGCAAAUUAUAUUGUAUGAGUUAUCUCCCAAAAACAUUCAGCUGCCUAGCUCCCUUAACAUGAAGUCCAAAUUGCCCUAACAUGGAGUCCAAAUUUCGUUAGCAUGGUUUAAGAGUCUCUUCAUGAACAAAAGGCUUCUGUCUUCUCCAGUCAUACCCAAAUCUUUCCUAAUCAAAAGCCAUUUUUAUCAGUUUAAGAACAGAGACAGUUGUUCCAGAUAUAAGGAAGAGCAUUGGCAAAGUUGCAGAUAAUAAUUUAGGUGAGUGUGAUUCAGAGAUCUCAUUAGUGAUGCCUCAGAAUGACUAGGAGACAUGGAUAAAAGGAUAACAAGAAAGAAAAGGAGACCACAAAACCACAGUCCAGAUUGUAGGAGGCUUGGGUUGUGGUAAUGAGCUGGGACUUCUCUGCUGGCUAUCAGGAGUCCUCAUCUAUGAUCUGCUAGAAGAAUAUCAUGAUUAGAACUGCAUUUUAGAAAGUUAAGUCUAGUGGCUGCAGAGCAUACAUAUAGAAGGUAGAGCUUUGAGUCCACAAGAACAUUAUGGUUUAAUAAAACUCUGUGAGAGAGAUUAGAGCACAAACAAAGGCAGUCAUAAUGGAAAUGGAAAGAAAGUUAAAGGCUAAAGACUCCAGAGACAUUUUGAAAAAUGUGGGAAAUUAGGAGAGGAGCUGCAUCAAUCAGGACAUCAGUGUUACUGAUUUGCGAGACUAGGGAAUUAGGAUGUUCUUGAUGAAAGUGAGCAAAGGAAUUUUGCAGAGAUCAGAGUAGAACUUUUUUUUUUCCCUGAAAGCAUUCUGAAAACUGUAAACACCCUACUGCAUAAGAUAUCAUCAUCAUUAUUACUAAGCAGUCCUAUGUUAAUAGCCCUUUGGGUCUAGAGCUUGAAUUAUGCGCUAUACCUUGUACUUGAAAGAAACUAUAUCCUGACUAGUCCAGAUGGAUAUUACUUAACCUGCUUUAAGAUCCUCUAGGGAGGAACAACCACAACAAAUCCAAGAAAGGUCCCCUUCCUAGCAACUGUGCAUCCUUCCAGCUGCCUUAUCAAUGAUAUCAUCCCUUCGAUAUGUUACAGAGUCCAUUUGGACAAUUUUUAAAGGGACUCAUGACAUUCUGGUAAAAGAGAAUUAUGAUUUCUGGACUCUUUAAAAUUCAAAUGUAGGGGGAAAAAAAGCAAGUCUUCUGUUUGAUCAUAAAAGCUAUAAAGAUGCAAAGAGAGAAAGGUCCAUUCUAGCAUUUCAAUAAUAUCUGUUUUCACUGAAAACCUGAGCUGACUUUAAUCAUCUACACUUCAGACUGGGCUAAUACCUCAGAAAGCUGCAAAUACUGUGAACGCUGUCACACUAGCACAAAGCCUUUGCAAAAAUUUCCCCAAAAUACACAGAUUAAAAAGCACAUUUUCUCUCUCUCUGUUUUCCUCUCUCUCUCUCUCUCUCUCACACGCACACACACAUACACAUGCACAAAAUUUGUCAUUAAUUGUUAAAUUAUUUUCAUUGUAGGAAAGAUAAAUCUUUCAAUUAAUAUAGUAUUGUUCAUGCUAAAAAAUGUCUUAUCCAUUAAAAAGAUACUCAGUUGUAAUAGAGUAGUUCAAUCAAUACUGGUAAAUUGCACAUUUUGAGGGGAUAAUUGGUAAAUGCAAACUCAACUAGAAAAGAAGAGAAAGCAGUGUGUCUUUGUUCCUUCUGUGGUAAAGGAAUUCAGACCACCACCAGUCAACAUACCUUGAAUUAUGAAAACAGCACCUACUAUUUCAUCAUUCAGAGAGAUCACUCACAAACCUCUUUUUCAAUUGUAUCUAAUUUUUUUGUGCUGGCAUUAGGCAAUGGACCACCUUUGUAUUUAAAGUCUUUUCUUUAAAAAGAUUUUAAAUUUCAGAAAAAGCCUUUGCACUUAAACAGUGCUUCCUUUUCUGUCACUUUCAUGCUUAAAUGGUCGUCCAAUUUGACAUUAACUUUAUCGAGAAUAAUAAGUCUCAAUAGAGCUUCUAUUAUCCAGUGUUCUGUGAGUAGGUAGCACUUCAGUUGAAAGAAGAUUAUUCCAUUUUUAUAUUUUCUGGAACACUAGAGGAAAAUCUCAGACAUUGUCACAUUUCAUUUGCAGGUAAACCUGUAUUCAUCUUAGGUUAACUGGUUACCACUACUCACUUUCACCUAGUGUUUCCAUAUUUUUUUCUUAUAGAGCUGUGUCUACUUUUAUUUCAGAAUGAAUCAUGUGUGGCUAUUUGAAUUUUUAUGACUCAUGGAUUCCUCAUGAAUAUCCAAAUUGUAUUUUCAUUACCCAGUAUAUGAUUCUUUCUAAGUAGCAAGAUUUUUAUUGUAUGUGUACAGUUUGAUGCCAUUUCUUAUGUGUUAGUAGCGAAUGUCUCCUUGGCUUAUUCAUGAAGAAAUGGGUGAUGAAGGUGCCCACAAGCAUUUCUACUUGAUAUUUGUGUUCAGAUUCUUUUAAUAAAGGAUUUUGACAACUCAACAAAUUAGAAGAAAGUAUGGUGAAGAGCAAACUCUUCACAUGUUUGUUCUGCACAUUUUUAUCUUGUUCAUGCAAACAAUAUGUCAAUGUGGCUAUCUACAAAUAAAAGUUUGGAAGUUUUAGCUAAGAAAAAUGCCGUUCUCUAAAUAAAGUAAUACAGUGUGAAAAUU